GACGAACGCUGGCGGCGUGCCUAAUACAUGCAAGUCGAGCGGACUUUCAAGAAGCUUGCUUUUUGAAAGUUAGCGGCGGACGGGUGAGUAACACGUGGGCAACCUGCCUGCAAGACGGGGAUAACUCCGGGAAACCGGAGCUAAUACCGGAUAAUAUCUUCCUUCGCAUGAAGGAAGGUUGAAAGGCGGCGCAAGCUGCCGCUUGCAGAUGGGCCCGCGGCGCAUUAGCUAGUUGGUGAGGUAACGGCUCACCAAGGCGACGAUGCGUAGCCGACCUGAGAGGGUGAUCGGCCACACUGGGACUGAGACACGGCCCAGACUCCUACGGGAGGCAGCAGUAGGGAAUCUUCCGCAAUGGACGAAAGUCUGACGGAGCAACGCCGCGUGAGCGAAGAAGGUCUUCGGAUCGUAAAGCUCUGUUGUCAGGGAAGAACAAGUACCGUUCGAACAGGGCGGUACCUUGACGGUACCUGACCAGAAAGCCACGGCUAACUACGUG
Molecule: ribosomal RNA, 499 nt
Filed under: uncultured bacterium
Lineage: Bacteria
Description: partial 16S ribosomal RNA
Rfam family: Bacterial small subunit ribosomal RNA
Source: RNAcentral